UGGGGAAUAUUGGACAAUGGGCGCAAGCCUGAUCCAGCCAUGCCGCGUGUGUGAAGAAGGUCUUCGGAUUGUAAAGCACUUCAAGUUGGGAGGAAGGGCCAUUACCUAAUACGUGAUGGUUUUGACGUUACCGACAGAAUAAGCACCGGCUAACUCUGUGCCAGCAGCCGCGGUAAUACAGAGGGUGCAAGCGUUAAUCGGAAUUACUGGGCGUAAAGCGCGCGUAGGUGGUUUGUUAAGUUGGAUGUGAAAUCCCCGGGCUCAACCUGGGAACUGCAUUCAAAACUGACUGACUAGAGUAUGGUAGAGGGUGGUGGAAUUUCCUGUGUAGCGGUGAAAUGCGUAGAUAUAGGAAGGAACACCAGUGGCGAAGGCGACCACCUGGACUGAUACUGACACUGAGGUGCGAAAGCGUGGGGAGCAAACAGGAUUAGAUACCCCUGUAGUCCCUGAGCGGGCUGGCAAGGCGCAU
RNAcentral lists this ribosomal RNA (472 nucleotides) under uncultured bacterium. Its description in RNAcentral is "bacterial SSU rRNA". It matches the Rfam family "Bacterial small subunit ribosomal RNA", at positions 355 to 825 of the family's 1533-position model. The record is from RNAcentral.